This 395-nucleotide ribosomal RNA is filed under the name uncultured bacterium. RNAcentral's name for it is "bacterial SSU rRNA". It matches the Rfam family "Bacterial small subunit ribosomal RNA", at positions 505 to 898 of the family's 1533-position model. The record is from RNAcentral.
GUGCCAGCCGCCGCGGUAAUACGUAGGUGGCAAGCGUUGUCCGGAAUUAUUGGGCGUAAAGCGCGCGCAGGCGGUCUCUUAAGUCUGAUGUGAAAGCCCCCGGCUCAACCGGGGAGGGUCAUUGGAAACUGGGAGACUUGAGUGCAGAAGAGAAGAGCGGAAUUCCACGUGUAGCGGUGAAAUGCGUAGAGAUGUGGAGGAACACCAGUGGCGAAGGCGGCUCUUUGGUCUGUAACUGACGCUGAGGCGCGAAAGCGUGGGGAGCGAACAGGAUUAGAUACCCUGGUAGUCCACGCCGUAAACGAUGAGUGCUAAGUGUUAGAGGGUUUCCGCCCUUUAGUGCUGCAGCAAACGCAUUAAGCACUCCGCCUGGGGAGUACGGCCGCAAGGCUGAA